Poecilia latipinna (sailfin molly) is the source of this 151-nucleotide long non-coding RNA. RefSeq lists it as uncharacterized. Lineage: Eukaryota; Metazoa; Chordata; Actinopteri; Cyprinodontiformes; Poeciliidae. The record is from RefSeq and is a predicted model, not a curated record. The transcript has 2 exons.
CAAAUGUUUUUUAGGUCUCAAUUGAUAUAUAACAGUAAUCCAUUAUAUGUCAAUAAAAAGUUUUUUGAGUACAGAUUGUUCAUUCAUAUGUGACAGUGGUGUCCAAACUUUUUACCAUGAUGGCCAAAGCACUUUUUGACCACAAAAAUAA